AGGGUGCUGAGUGACACCAAUUUGCCAAACGAUUCAGCUUUUUGUAACAUUUGCACGUUUUCCCACGACCUGGAUUUGUUUCCAUGCCACGACUGCAGCAGCUGUCCCCACCAUGAAAACAUCUGGAAUUCUGGAGCUUCCUUCCCUGCUAAGAGACUCGUGGUAAGAACAAGGAAGAAUGUCACCUACCCUGUUUAUAUAAUAAUAAAUACAGAGAACAAAUGUGGCCUUCUUGCCGGCAAGAUCUUUGGUGACCCGUGGGUAUGCGGAGUCGAGAACAGCACAUACCCUUCCCUGCAUUGUGACAACCCACAGGACAGAUGACAACACUGAUCGCUCCCUGCAUGCAAC
Long non-coding RNA from Pseudophryne corroboree (corroboree frog), 351 nucleotides. RefSeq lists it as uncharacterized. The transcript is spliced from 3 exons. The record is from RefSeq and is a predicted model, not a curated record. NCBI's taxonomy places the organism in Eukaryota, Metazoa, Chordata, Amphibia, Anura, Myobatrachidae.